UACGUAGGGUGCAAGCGUUAAUCGGAAUUACUGGGCGUAAAGCGUGCGCAGGCGGUUAUGUAAGACAGUUGUGAAAUCCCCGGGCUCAACCUGGGAACUGCAUCUGUGACUGCAUAGCUAGAGUACGGUAGAGGGGGAUGGAAUUCCGCGUGUAGCAGUGAAAUGCGUAGAUAUGCGGAGGAACACCGAUGGCGAAGGGCAAUCCCCCUGGACCUGUACUGACGCUCAUGCACGAAAGGCGUGGGGAGCAAACAGG
RNAcentral lists this ribosomal RNA (256 nucleotides) under uncultured bacterium. RNAcentral's name for it is "partial 16S ribosomal RNA". It matches the Rfam family "Bacterial small subunit ribosomal RNA", at positions 524 to 776 of the family's 1533-position model. The record is from RNAcentral.